Molecule: ribosomal RNA, 238 nt
Filed under: Salmonella enterica subsp. enterica serovar 1,4,[5],12:i:-
Lineage: Bacteria; Pseudomonadati; Pseudomonadota; Gammaproteobacteria; Enterobacterales; Enterobacteriaceae
Description: partial 23S ribosomal RNA
Rfam family: Bacterial large subunit ribosomal RNA
Source: RNAcentral
CCAGGAUGUUGGCUUAGAAGCAGCCAUCAUUUAAAGAAAGCGUAAUAGCUCACUGGUCGAGUCGGCCUGCGCGGAAGAUGUAACGGGGCUAAACCAUGCACCGAAGCUGCGGCAGCGAACGUAUCACUUAAAGCGAUUCAGCGGGUUACGAUUGACGGAGCGAAGCGACGUCAAAGCGUAUACAAAGUCGAGUCGGUUUAAGGAUACGUUCGUUGGGUAGGGGAGCGUUCUGUAAGCC